CUGGGAUGCUGCGAUUACAGCGUGGUUUGCUGGAGCUGCGGCAUGGUGGCACUCAGGGGGAGAGCCUGCCGCCUUAGGGAGGCAAGAAGAGGUGGGGGUGGGGAUACAUGCGGACAUGGGAGUGGCGGCAGCGCAAGUUGGGGCUGUGAUCGGCCUCUGUUCUCCACGGGGCUCUUGCAGUCCCCGUGCCUGCUACACUCUCAGGGAUUUCUGAUCCAUGUCUCUGACUCGAUUUGUGGCUAUUUGCCAGAGAGAUGCUUUGGAAAAGAUCCAGGCCCCCAAUUCCCACGCUCUGCCCUCAAGAGCACCUGCAGAAGACAAGCCUUGGAAGGCCACGGUUCAGCAAGCCCUGUGGUCUGGCCUCAAGCUCAGCUGCAGGAACAACACCUUGGAAAAGCUCCAGGGGCUGUUGGCCGGAGCACCUGGAGCAACUGCUGGCAACACUUGGUCUCGGUCAGAAGCUCUCACUCCAUGCUGAAAUGAUUUUCUCAUUGAAGUAAUUUCCUUCAGCACAAAAACACCUUAGUGGCAAAGGCACAGAAGAAUCUGGCAUUUAAGAUUCCUCACUUCAGGAAAGCAUUACUUCUCGUUGCUCAACUCAAGUAGUUCCAAAAAUCUGCAAACUUCCCACCUUCACUGGGAUGGCCUGAGAAGGUGAAGAGUUGGAAUUUUGCUUCCUGUCUCAAAGCAGCAACUCAUUUGCCUUGACAUCAUCCACUGAGAGUCACUUAACAUAACACUGCACAGAGGUAAAAAAAGGGCCAUUCUUUGGUUUGCAAAUGGUUUUCUAAGAAGGGAUGGUAUUAUCCUAAUUCUCUUAAAGAAUAAAAGCUCUCAAGAAAUUAAA
Molecule: long non-coding RNA, 847 nt
Organism: Haemorhous mexicanus (house finch)
Lineage: Eukaryota; Metazoa; Chordata; Aves; Passeriformes; Fringillidae
Exons: 3
Source: RefSeq, a predicted model, not a curated record